RNAcentral lists this long non-coding RNA (1716 nucleotides) under Citrus sinensis (sweet orange). RNAcentral's name for it is "long non-coding RNA (CSIN_LNC000199)". Lineage: Eukaryota; Viridiplantae; Streptophyta; Magnoliopsida; Sapindales; Rutaceae. The record is from RNAcentral.
UUUUGACAACGUUGUGUAAAUUGUGCUUUUUACUGCAUAAACAAUUAAUCAUUCCAACUUCAUCAAAUUUCGAUUUCAUCAACUUUAGAGGAAAAUUGUGCCUUUUACUGGUAAUUAACUUCCCCAAAUUCAAUAGUGAAAAGCCAUGCACGUAGAACUUUCCAUAUAUAUAUAUAUAAGCCAACUUAUAACUAGCCACCUUAGCUUUCUUGGAUCUGUUCGUCCGCGAAACGGCGUCACAUCUUUGCCUAUCUAUUCAACCUUGAAUUUGUCAUGUGGCAGGCCGUCCUUCUUCUGUCAUUAAUGGCUUCAUUCUGGCGUCUUUCCAAGAGCUACUCGAAUCAAAAUCAAUACAAAUGAUUUGACAUGGGGUAAUCCAUGACUCGCAGCUUGUUGUAGUGCCGUGUUUCGUAGUUUCAAUGGCGCUUUCGAGGCAAUUUUGCAAUGCCUCUUGGCCAUCAAACAUGUUUUAUGUUGAGAUGUAUGCGAUUGUUCAGGUUAUUGAGUUUGCAGCUCCGAAGGGACGGGAUUGUAUUUGGUCAGAGAGUGCGACUCAUCUUCAGCAGCCAGCUUCAACUUGUCUCAUGAGCUCCAGCUUCAAGCCGCCAUGGCAACUGCGCUUCAGAUGGUUCAGUUGCUUGAGCUUAAUUCGUGGUACGCAUUUUACUUGUUUGCACAACUGCGCUUCAGAUCUACUUGAGGAUGCUUGAGGUCUUCUCCAAAUAUCACUUCAAAUCAGUGAUUUCAUAAUAUUUUCUCCUCUUUUUUCUUAAUAAAAUUUCAGUAUCAUUCAUAUGAAAAAAAAAAUUAAUAUAUAAUGCAUGUCAUAACAUUCACAAACCUUCUAAUAUUUCGCCUCUUGCAUUGCAUUAUACCAUAACAAAAAGAUUUUCUUCAACGUAGGGAAAUUGGCUUUAUUUACAUUUAUUUAAAAAUUAAAAAAAAAAAACUGAAAAUCAAGAAUCGAGCCGUUCAUUAGAGUGAAUCAAAAUAAAUUGAACCGAUAAAAGACUACCAGAGAUGAAUCUUUAGAACACCAAGUCUGAAGAUACAAGAUUUUUUGAUAGCAGGAUUAAUCAUAAAAAGUUUGAAACAAUUCGAAAUUUGUAUUAAAUAAUUAUGAACCCUUACGGCAAGACUAGUAACCAAGUAAAUACAUCACUACGUUGGAACAACUUCUGCAAAUUUUGGAUGCAUGGUACGAAGAAGAAUACAAAUAUAAAAGCCCAAAAGCUAAAGAAAGAAAAAAAAAAAAAAAGGUAGAAAACCUAAUUGAAUGCAUGAACACAUCCGCUGAGCACACAUAUAGGAGCAAAAUCACUGAUCAGAUUUGUGAUUUGAGUCUCUCCAAGAGUCUUGCAACAGGAGUGAAAUCGAGUCCCGCAAUAGCUAAAUGAUACGCCACAUGAUAAAAAAUUGAAUCUGCACCUCUCAGAGUACCUUCAAACAAUUAAGAACAUAUUGAAGUAACAAGUUAUUAGGUGCAGACGUCUGCACGAAGGAAAUUAUUAUAAAGGAUUAAUGCGAGAAAAAGUACGCACCAGAAAUUAAUCCAUCUCUGCUCAAGAUUUGAAACAGGGAAGAAAAGCAUUUCGAGUAGCUUCAUCCACCCAUUCGAGCUGUUCCCACCAUCUUCUGUCUCCAUCAAUAACAAUGUUACGCUCUCUUGCACUAUUGGAAUCAAGUGGAAGCUUUUUGAGCUUAUAGCAAUUCAAG